GUGGGGAAUAUUGGGCAAUGGGGGCAACCCUGACCCAGCGACGCCGCGUGAGGGAAGAAGGCCUUAGGGUCGUAAACCUCUGUUGUGUGGGAAGAAGGAAGUGACGGUACCACACGAGGAAGUCCCGGCUAACUACGUGCCAGCAGCCGCGGUAAUACGUAGGGGACGAGCGUUGUCCGGAAUUACUGGGCGUAAAGGGCGCGUAGGCGGUCAUUUAAGUCAGCUGUGAAAUGGUCCGGCUCAACCGGAUCAUGCGGUGGAAACUGGAUGACUGGAGUGCUGGAGAGUCAAGUGGAAUUCCCAGUGUAGCGGUGAAAUGCGUAGAUAUUGGGAAGACCACCGGUGGCGAAGGCGACUUGCUGGCCAGCAACUGACGCUGAGGCGCGAAAGCCAGGGGAGCAAACGGGAUUAGAUACCCCUGUAGUCC
This 427-nucleotide ribosomal RNA is filed under the name uncultured bacterium. Its description in RNAcentral is "partial 16S ribosomal RNA". It matches the Rfam family "Bacterial small subunit ribosomal RNA", at positions 354 to 796 of the family's 1533-position model. The record is from RNAcentral.